This is a long non-coding RNA of Symphalangus syndactylus (siamang), 288 nucleotides long. RefSeq lists it as uncharacterized. The record is from RefSeq and is a predicted model, not a curated record. Lineage: Eukaryota; Metazoa; Chordata; Mammalia; Primates; Hylobatidae.
UCUAGGAGUGAGAACACGUCAGGAGUGUGGAAGGUAAAAGUUUUAUUGGUGACUUUUCACAUCAAGGAUAUAAUGCAAUACAGUUAAGAGCAUCAGAGAGAAGAAAUACACUUUCCAGUUAACCAGCCAGUCAUUGAUCUUAACCACAUCUGAUAAGGAGAUUUCUCUGACUUCACAGGAUAGCUGUAAAAUAACACAGAAUGCACGUGGAAGUACUUAAUAAACUCUAAAGUGAAAUACAAAUGUAAGCUAUUUUUAUUACAAAUGUAAUACAUAUCUGCCACCAGA